Thamnophis elegans (Western terrestrial garter snake) is the source of this 276-nucleotide long non-coding RNA. RefSeq lists it as uncharacterized. NCBI's taxonomy places the organism in Eukaryota, Metazoa, Chordata, Lepidosauria, Squamata, Natricidae. The transcript is spliced from 3 exons. The record is from RefSeq and is a predicted model, not a curated record.
CUUCUGCAGCUUAGACCUCUGUGCAUCCCGAGAGAUACACAAUAUUGUAGACCCUCCCGACUUUUCCUUUGUUGACAUACUCUUAAUAUCGCGGAGGCACAGUUGCAUCGUCAAAAACUGAGAAGGUACUCCUCGACUUACAACCUAUUGCUUAGUGACCAUUCAAAGUCAUGAUGGAUCUCGCAAAAGGUAAACUGGAAGUUAAUGAACUCACCGGAUCCAUAUAACAAGGCAAUGCUUUUGCAAGGAGCGCUUCAGUGCAGCUGCUCACCUCUG